Molecule: long non-coding RNA, 2496 nt
Organism: Cyprinus carpio carpio
Lineage: Eukaryota; Metazoa; Chordata; Actinopteri; Cypriniformes; Cyprinidae
Source: Ensembl
UGAUUCUAUAAACUUCCCUAAAUGUCUUCAUCAACCAUGUGAAUUACCUGUUUCUGGAGGUUGAUUUCUACUUUUUUAGUUUUCUUACUCAUGUGGUCGGUUUUUCAGUUUUGAUCUCAUUCUAAAAUAGAUACAUGGUAACUGGUCAGAUAUAUUUUUAUAUAGCACAGGAUUCUUGACAGACAUGUCAAACUGAACUGAUAUUUUGCCCAUUUUAAGUGCCUACAGACAUAGUGAAAUGGCCCUGUUCAUCUUCAUAAUAUUUUAUCUUUUACUGGUGGUUAAAUUGCAAGGUUUGGCCACCAUGUCGUCUUUGCCACCAAUCACAGAGGGCAGCCCAACAGUGAUUCCCAAUGGAACCUUACAAGUGAAUUUGUCCACUGCAUCAACAAUGAACACAACAUUUUUGGGUGUAACAUCCACUACUGAGUCUGAAAUCACAACAGACCUGAUAACCAAUAUGUCAAGUCUAAGUUCCCAAGACAACCAUAGUUUAAAAGAUCCUGCAAACGCAUCCUUAGAAUCGACUACACUUACUGAUAAUACAGAACGUGCUUCAGUUUUCCCCUUGAUGACUAAAGGCCCUGAAAUCAGAAAGUACUCAAAUACAAAAAUGUUCUUCCUCAUUGCUGUGGUUGCAUCUGGUGGAGGAAUUGUACUGACUGGACUCGUGGGCACCUGUUUGUACAGACGUACACGAAAGUCAAAGGCAGAGAGAACAGAUUUGGGGAAAUUUAGCAUUAGAUCAGCCAAUCUUGCCAGUGGAUCCUCUGCAGUAAAUGGGUGCCAUCAGAAUCAGAGUUCAAACAGUUGAUAAAAACAUCAGAAUAAUCCACAAAUAAUCCACAUGACUCCAGUUCAACAUCUUGUGAAGUUAACAUCGCAUAUUUGUAAGGAACAAAUCCAUCACUGAGGUGAUUUAACUUUAAACCAUUGCUUCUGGCCAAAAUAUGAGACUAUAAUCUAUAAUAAUAAUUCAUAACACUUCCUCCUGUGAAAAAGUACUUCCACUGUUUUCCUCUCACAUCAAAAUCCACCCACAUAUAUGCUUAGGACUGUUUUUGCUUGUAAACAGAGUUUGAUUUGUGCAUAUCUCUCUCAUGAUUCUAGAUGACUAGAUGACAUUUUCACUGCAGAAAAAUCAAUAUCAUAGAGGACAUAUAGUGUAUUUUUGCAAGAAGCACUGGUUUGAAGUUAAAAAUGUCUUAAUUAUGGAUUUGUUUAUUACAAACAUCUUUUCACUUCACAAUAUGAAUAGACUGGAGUCGUGUGGAUUAUUGUGAUGUUUUUAUCAGCUGUUUGGACUCUCAUUCUGACGGCACCCAUUCACUGCAGAGGAUCCAUUGGUGAGCAAGUGAUGGAAUGCUAAAUGUCCCCAAAUCUGUUCCAACGAAGAAACAAACUCAUCUACAACUUGAAUGGACUGAGCGAUUUGGAUCGAAUCGAGCAGCAAAAAACACAAACAGGGACAUUCUUUACCAGUGGCCAGUUCAGACUCAUCUGGAGAGGAAGAUACAGUGCUUUACUCAACCAUCAACUUCAUUCAACCCCCCUCUCAACCACCAGGAAACAAUGAAGAAUCAAUUCAAAAUGAGGUUGAACUGAAUCAUUUGUAUUACACCGUCAUAACCAAACCGGCAAUCUCCAGUGACAGCAGGAGUGUUUACAGUCAGCUGAAGGUCCGCUGAAAGAAUACAACUCUGCGUGCUGCUGUUUUAAUGCAGGCCAAAAUUGAUGCAUCUUAAUUUUAAACAUGCUUUAAUCCUCCAUAGCAAUGCCUUUUAUUGUAAAUGUUAAACUUCUGCUUUCUAAUUUCAAUGUUGUAACACCUUUCAAAACUGUGUCAUAAACUUUCUUUCUGAUUUCGGUUUACUUGUAUUUUCUGUAGAUUCACAUGAACAGAAUAACCACAUCAGAAGGCACAGCAUGAAUAUGCAUACUUUUAAGCAAUAAUAAUUGUUAUUGUGAAUGGCAGUUGUAUAGAUCAACAUAAGGACAGUCAUAUUUCCUCCUGUUACUUGUGUGAAUAUUUUCACCUGAUGUUUAUUAUUUAAAGCACCUCAUUUUUAUGUUUCUCUUUUUGUUCCUUUUGUACUUUUCCGCUGUUCCUCAAAGUUAUGUCUAAAAUCUCUUUGAAGACUGGAGUAAUGGCUGCUGAAAAUCCCACUUUGUCAUCACAGGAAUAAAAUAUAUUCAAAUAGAAAACUGUUAUUUUGAAUUGGUAUAAUAUAUUCACAGUGUUACUGUUUUUACUGUAUUUGUGAUCAAAUAAAUGCAGCUUUAGUAAACAAGAGAGACUUCUCUCAAAAACAUUUAAAAAAUGUUACCAAGCCCAAUCGUUUGAAUGGUGUACAUGAAGAAGUUUUUUUUUUUUUUUUUAAUGAAAACCAGACACCGGAGAAACCUACAGCAAUACAGGUAUCCGAUUACUGUGAAUAUGCGUCAGAUGACAGCACACUCUCCUGUCUAAAACAUGGACUUACAGUUAUAUAUGUG